This 238-nucleotide ribosomal RNA is filed under the name uncultured bacterium. Its description in RNAcentral is "partial 16S ribosomal RNA". It matches the Rfam family "Bacterial small subunit ribosomal RNA", at positions 28 to 263 of the family's 1533-position model. The record is from RNAcentral.
GAUGAACGCUAGCGGCAGGCCUAAUACAUGCAAGUCGAGGGGCAGUCCCGUUUUCGGACGGGAGCGACCGGCGCACGGGUGCGUAACGCGUAUGCAAUCUACCCACAACAGGGGGAUAGCCCGGAGAAAUUCGGAUUAAUACCCCAUAAUGCAUAUUUACCGCAUGGUAGAUAUAGCUAAAGCUUUCGAGUGGUUGUGGAUGGGCAUGCGUCUGAUUAGCUAGUUGGUGUGGUAACGG